RNAcentral lists this ribosomal RNA (253 nucleotides) under uncultured bacterium. RNAcentral's name for it is "partial 16S ribosomal RNA". It matches the Rfam family "Bacterial small subunit ribosomal RNA", at positions 524 to 776 of the family's 1533-position model. The record is from RNAcentral.
UACGGAGGAUCCAAGCGUUAUCCGGAUUUAUUGGGUUUAAAGGGUGCGUAGGCGGAUUGAUAAGUUAGAGGUGAAAUGUCCGAGCUCAACUCGGGAACUGCCUCUAAUACUGUUGAUCUAGAGAGUAGAUGCGGUAGGCGGAAUGCGUGGUGUAGCGGUGAAAUGCAUAGAUAUCACGCAGAACUCCGAUUGCGAAGGCAGCAUACCGGCGCCCUACUGACGCUGAGGCUCGAAAGCGUGGGGAGCAAACAGG